This 21-nucleotide non-coding RNA is filed under the name Arabidopsis thaliana (thale cress). Lineage: Eukaryota; Viridiplantae; Streptophyta; Magnoliopsida; Brassicales; Brassicaceae. The record is from RNAcentral.
UGAUGAGGAACAACAAAUGCA